UACGUAGGGUGCAAGCGUUGUCCGGAAUUAUUGGGCGUAAAGAGCUCGUAGGCGGUUUGUCGCGUCUGCUGUGAAAACUCGGGGCUUAACUCCGAGCCUGCAGUGGGUACGGGCAGACUAGAGUGCGGUAGGGGAGACUGGAAUUCCUGGUGUAGCGGUGAAAUGCGCAGAUAUCAGGAGGAACACCGGUGGCGAAGGCGGGUCUCUGGGCCGUAACUGACGCUGAGGAGCGAAAGCGUGGGGAGCGAACAGG
Molecule: ribosomal RNA, 253 nt
Filed under: uncultured bacterium
Lineage: Bacteria
Description: partial 16S ribosomal RNA
Rfam family: Bacterial small subunit ribosomal RNA
Source: RNAcentral